RNAcentral lists this ribosomal RNA (411 nucleotides) under Phlebotomus bergeroti. Its description in RNAcentral is "eukaryotic LSU rRNA". The stretch from base 1 to 110 matches the Rfam family "5.8S ribosomal RNA", at positions 65 to 154 of the family's 154-position model. Lineage: Eukaryota; Metazoa; Arthropoda; Insecta; Diptera; Psychodidae. The record is from RNAcentral.
GUGUGAACUGCAGGACACAUGAACAUCGACAUUUUGAACGCAUAUUGCGGUCCAUGCAAAAGUUUAAAUUAUUCAUUUAAACUGCAUGGACCACGUAUGGUUGAGUGUCGUAAAUAUUAAGCAAUUGAAAUUGUUUUUAUACAUAUGUAUAAAACAUUGGGGCUAUGGAAUUUUUUGAUUUCAUGCUCUUAAUAUGUUAAAGCACAUUUGAAUGUACCCAAUAUAUAAUAUUAAAAGAUAUAAUAUAUACAAGUGGUAUAUCAUAGUCAUUGGAUAAUUUAUCUUAAAGACAUAUUGUUAUACAGAAAAACUUGUUAUAUUAAAAAACUUUUAAUAAAAAGGGAUUAUUCAUUAUAAUGUGCUACAUUGAUUUAAUAUUAUUGCGAUCUCAACUCAUACGUGACUACCCCC